AAGCAUUCUGAUUUUUAGCCAGUUUAGGCACUAUGGCUAUGUAACACACUAAGCCUUGCACUUAAAUGAGAGGUUGUCCUUCACAGCUGGCAUUGUGGAAGAAAUGCUUCCAUUUCUCCAGGAGCUACUGAAAUGCCUCUUUGAGGGUGGUUCUUGGUCAGUUCACAGUCUUAUAGCUCAGCCUCAUUGCUGAGGCAGGAGGCUAGGGAUAACAAGAUGUUGGAAUAUAUCAAGAUGUCAGCGGGGAUCACAGAAACAGGUACCUGCUUAAAUCACCAUUACCAUAAGAACUGCCCUGGCUCCAUAGGACCACCCACAUCACCAUAGAAACAGCCAUAGCAACAAGUUCUGUAGAGGGCUUAUCACCAUAACAAAUCCUGCCUAAAGUUCUGUAUUCCAAUUAGGUGAAAAUAAAAUAGCCAACCAGAAAAAAUGGGGCAGGGUUUCUAGUCAGGUCUGUGGGAAGAGGAUAUAGG
Molecule: long non-coding RNA, 476 nt
Filed under: Marmota monax (woodchuck)
Lineage: Eukaryota; Metazoa; Chordata; Mammalia; Rodentia; Sciuridae
Source: RNAcentral